Molecule: ribosomal RNA, 541 nt
Filed under: uncultured bacterium
Lineage: Bacteria
Description: bacterial SSU rRNA
Rfam family: Bacterial small subunit ribosomal RNA
Source: RNAcentral
AAUAGAUACCCGGGUAGUCCAUGCCGUAAACGUUGGGAACUAGAUGUGGGGACCAUUCCACGGUCUCCGUGUCGCAGCUAACGCAUUAAGUUCCCCGCCUGGGGAGUACGGCCGCAAGGCUAAAACUCAAAGGAAUUGACGGGGGCCCGCACAAGCGGCGGAGCAUGCGGAUUAAUUCGAUGCAACGCGAAGAACCUUACCAAGGCUUGACAUAUACCGGAAACGUCUGGAAACAGUCGCCCCGCAAGGUCGGUAUACAGGUGGUGCAUGGUUGUCGUCAGCUCGUGUCGUGAGAUGUUGGGUUAAGUCCCGCAACGAGCGCAACCCUCGUUCUAUGUUGCCAGCACGUGAUGGUGGGGACUCAUAGGAGACUGCCGGGGUCAACUCGGAGGAAGGUGGGGAUGAGGUCAAAUCAUCAUGCCCCUUAUGUCUUGGGCUUCACGCAUGCUACAAUGGCCGGUACAAAGGGCAGCAAUACCGUGAGGUGGAGCGAAUCCCAAAAAGCCGGUCUCAGUUCGGAUUGAGGUCUGCAACUCGACCC